GUGAUAUAUCGGUCCACAAUACUAGCGUCCAAAAACAGUAAAAUUAUGUCCACUCCAAAGGACUAUACGAGUUUUCAGGGGGGGGAUGAAGGAAUAGAUUCAUCUUGGAAGAGCUUCAAUCUGGAUAUGAAUAAAGGAUGAAGGUGUUCAAGGGCACUAAUGAUUCAAAGUACUAGUGCAUCGAUAAGUUAAGCUACACGAGUUCUGCUUUACAGGUAGUCUUUACUCUAUCCCUUUUACACAGUGUUGGGAAGAAGUGGACUCUAGAGGUCCUGCUAAUUGAGUUGAGGAAGCAGAUCGUUGUAAUAUCAAGUUCUUACCACAACACAUUUUUGCGAUCGUCAGCGUGUUUAUCCUUAAUUUUGAAGGCUUUUCGUUUGCUAACUUCUUUACUAUUCUUUUGAUCUCUAAUUAAGC
RNAcentral lists this unclassified non-coding RNA (417 nucleotides) under Hevea brasiliensis (rubber tree). Lineage: Eukaryota; Viridiplantae; Streptophyta; Magnoliopsida; Malpighiales; Euphorbiaceae. The record is from RNAcentral.